UAGACAAGGGAUACUAUAGAUAUAACAUGUGUUCACGCGGCGAUCAGAAUAACACAGACGGAAUCAAGAUUGAACGUGUAAUGUUGUCACGCAAUCCAUCAAUCCGUGAUCGUAAUCGUGAUCAGAGCUGCAUAAUCUCGAUCCAGAUUGACUGUGUAACGGCCGCCUAUGGACCUUAUGCACCGGAAGGAGAACAACUAAUUAUUGUGACAUCCCAGCCAAAACUGGAAAAUAUCAAAAUAUAUUUUUUUUGUUAUGGCUCCAUCGUUCGCCAAAACGCCGCGCACAGGGGCCAAAACGAUGACUUUGCCAAUGACAAGGUUGAUAGAAGUGAAGACACGACGUCACGAUGAUAUUGACGAAAAUUACAAAGUUACGAAAUCUGUCUUUUCUGUCAUACUGAUCACAUAAGACAUGACAAUAUAAACCUCACAAAAUUCCGGAAACUAAAACAUGUAGUGCCAUCAAAAACUGUAAAAUUUUACAAAUCAUCCAUUCAUAACAUCAAUAGAAAUGGAAUAACAAGUAUCAAUAUCCUUCACGCAUCCUCCUAAGUAUAUUCAAACAGCACUUAUAAAAAUGGCCACAUUAUCCAGAUCUGUAUCAUUAAAGUUACUAGAUAAAGCUAUCUGCAAACUUUCGUUUCGAGGUAUAUUUGGACAUCCUUGUUGGUUUCACACUACUGGUCCAAAACACAGAAAGUAUGAGCGUAAAUACGGAUCGAAUAUACAUUUGCCUGGGAGUGAAUGCGUGCAAACACCAUUUGAACCUUUGUACUGCAUGCCGACCGAUGUAUUCCGUUGCACACAUUUAGAAGUAACUGCUUUUUAAACCUUUAUACCUAUUCAGAAUAUGUCUGUCGAGGUUGCUGCCUACCCUGAUAGAUGUAUACUUUGUUUGAUAGUUCUUCAACUUCACGGACCAAAUUUUGUUAUAGAUAAGUCUACAAUACGAUAUUUUGCAACUAGUCAAAUCAGUUAUUUUUUCUAAUGUCAAAAACAAAAAUGUAUAUUAUGCACAGAUAUAAAAAAACUUUACAAUUAUGGAGCUUGUAUUACAGUAAUAUCCUGUGACUUCACAAUUUUAUAGUUAAAAGAAAAGCAAAUAAAUAAAUUUAUAAAUAAA
Plodia interpunctella (Indianmeal moth) is the source of this 1125-nucleotide long non-coding RNA. RefSeq lists it as uncharacterized. NCBI's taxonomy places the organism in Eukaryota, Metazoa, Arthropoda, Insecta, Lepidoptera, Pyralidae. The record is from RefSeq and is a predicted model, not a curated record. The transcript has 2 exons.